CCGUUACGCAGCGCGGUUGCUGGGCACCUCGACUAUCACCUGACCGUAGUAAUAUCUCCUGCUACGCGCGUUGUGACCAAUGCUGCAUACAGGAGAUGAGGGAGGACGGCCAGACACCUGGAAGCCGGAAAAUGGUGAAAGGCAGGAUUGGGAACCCCACAGACCGCAGCUCCUCCCAGGAGAACCGCACACAUGAGUCUGGAUCCUCGCCAUGAUCCUCCCGUGGCCCCCACACAAUCUGGGGAGACGCGGGGCCGCGGGCACUGCGCUGCCGAGAGGGCUCCGGACUGGGGCUGCAGUUGCUGCGCAGGGACGGCUCAGGAUGCCCGGGUUCCCGGCUGCUGGCCCAGCCCCACCCUGUGGCCGAGGGGACCCAGGGACGAGCUGCGCCAGGGAGACUCGGGUCCGCAGACCCCGGAAUCGCUGCUGACAGGCCCGGGUCCCACCACAGCAGGUCCCAACCAGCCCCUCCUCCCACCCGGCCUUGCACACUCACCAUUUCCCGGCUCCCAGGUGUCCCGGGUCCUCCCUUGGCUCCGGGGAUCAGUGCUGGUCACCACCGGACAGAAGCUGUGGUGGAGCCACCUCGGCCUCUGGAAGGCUGAUUUCAGUGGAUUAGGGGAACAAGGCUGAUUUCAGUGGGUUAGGGGAACAAGAGCCCCUUAGACUUGCGGAGCUUGGCCCCACCCUCCUGGCGGAGCGCCUGAUUGGAUGAUUUACACGACCCCGCCCAGUACCCCUAGGAUAGGAAUCAAGCCCCACCCCCUAGGACCGGGUUUCAGGAGAAGCCACGGAAAACUCGGAAGUGUGGAGCAGGACUGACAGGUUCUAGCAACAGCCCUCCCACCCCCACGCCCAGGCCAGGCUUCCUUCUGGAGCUUGGACGUGACCCCACACUGGGGACAUUUGCAUUUAAGAAAAACUUGGCUCCAGGCUUUCCACAGUGGGCACUGGCAUCUUCCCAUACUCACUGGGCCCUGUUUCUUCCUCCUGGACGGGAGUUCACAAGUGUGAGCAGGCAGUUCCACACUCCGUGUCCAAUUGAGCCAGUACCUUUGCUGGAAGCUACUGGGCUGGAACAGGAGGGAGGGCCCAGAUGUCUUCCAGGGAUCAGGAAUUUGGGAUAAGCGGCUGGUGGUAUGGCCAAGGCUUCCUCAUACCUUAUCUCAGUCUACCCAUUUUCAGGGAAGAAAAUGAAAUAUGCCAACAAGGGAACAAAAAUUAAGUGCAUGGAAAAAAGUUAUACUACAGCAAUAUUCUGUAAAGAAAUCAAAAGGAGCCGGGCGCGAUGGCUCACGCCUAUAAUCCCAGCACUUUGGAAGGCCAAGGUAGGAUGAUC
RNAcentral lists this long non-coding RNA (1339 nucleotides) under Pan troglodytes (chimpanzee). Its description in RNAcentral is "long non-coding RNA NONPTRT007981". The record is from RNAcentral. Lineage: Eukaryota; Metazoa; Chordata; Mammalia; Primates; Hominidae.